AACGAACGCUGGCGGCAGGCCUAACACAUGCAAGUCGAGCGAGAUCUUCGGGUCUAGCGGCGGACGGGUGAGUAACGCGUGGGAAUAUGCCUCUUGGUACGGAAUAGCCUCGGGAAACUGGGAGUAAUACCGUAUGUGCCCUUUGGGGGAAAGAUUUAUCGCCAAGAGAUUAGCCCGCGUUGGAUUAGGUAGUUGGUGGGGUAAUGGCCUACCAAGCCGACGAUCCAUAGCUGGUUUGAGAGGAUGAUCAGCCACACUGGGACUGAGACACGGCCCAGACUCCUACGGGAGGCAGCAGUGGGGAAUCUUAGACAAUGGGGGCAACCCUGAUCUAGCCAUGCCGCGUGAGUGAUGAAGGCCUUAGGGUUGUAAAGCUCUUUCAGCUGGGAAGAUAAUGACGGUACCAGCAGAAGAAGCCCCGGCUAACUCCGUGCCAGCCGCCGCAGUAA
This 449-nucleotide ribosomal RNA is filed under the name uncultured bacterium. RNAcentral's name for it is "partial 16S ribosomal RNA". It matches the Rfam family "Bacterial small subunit ribosomal RNA", at positions 29 to 523 of the family's 1533-position model. The record is from RNAcentral.